This 253-nucleotide ribosomal RNA is filed under the name uncultured bacterium. RNAcentral's name for it is "partial 16S ribosomal RNA". It matches the Rfam family "Bacterial small subunit ribosomal RNA", at positions 524 to 776 of the family's 1533-position model. The record is from RNAcentral.
UACGUAGGGGGCUAGCGUUGUCCGGAAUCAUUGGGCGUAAAGAGCGUGUAGGCGGUCCGGUAAGUCCGCUGUGAAAGUCGGGGGCUCAACCCUCGAAUGCCGGUGGAUACUGUCGGGCUAGAGUGCGGAAGAGGCGAGUGGAAUUCCUGGUGUAGCGGUGAAAUGCGCAGAUAUCAGGAGGAACACCGGUGGCGAAGGCGGGUCUCUGGGCCGAAACUGACGCUGAGGAGCGAAAGCGUGGGGAGCAAACAGG